RNAcentral lists this non-coding RNA (101 nucleotides) under Glutamicibacter arilaitensis. RNAcentral's name for it is "Arthrobacter arilaitensis SAM-I sequence". It matches the Rfam family "SAM riboswitch aptamer (S box leader)". Rfam says of the family: The SAM riboswitch is found upstream of a number of genes which code for proteins involved in methionine or cysteine biosynthesis in Gram-positive bacteria. The SAM riboswitch acts at the level of transcription termination control. The record is from RNAcentral. Lineage: Bacteria; Bacillati; Actinomycetota; Actinomycetes; Micrococcales; Micrococcaceae.
UAACCAUCCCGAGCGGCCGAGAGAUCUGGCUCUACGACGCCGCAGCAACCACCUACGGACUACCCUCCGCAGGCCGGUGCUACCGCCAGGAACGAUGGAGA